UUGACCUCAAAUCAGGUAGGACUACCCGCUGAACUUAAGCAUAUCAAUAAGCGGAGGAAAAGAAACCAACAGGGAUUGCCUCAGUAGCGGCGAGUGAAGCGGCAAAAGCUCAAAUUUGAAAUCUGGCGUCUUUGGCGUCCGAGUUGUAAUUUGAAGAAGGUAUCUUUGGGCCCGGCUCUUGUCUAUGUUCCUUGGAACAGGACGUCACAGAGGGUGAGAAUCCCGUGCGAUGAGAUGACCCGGGUCU
RNAcentral lists this ribosomal RNA (247 nucleotides) under Candida albicans. RNAcentral describes it as "partial 28S ribosomal RNA". It matches the Rfam family "Eukaryotic large subunit ribosomal RNA", at positions 1 to 243 of the family's 3401-position model. Lineage: Eukaryota; Fungi; Ascomycota; Pichiomycetes; Serinales; Debaryomycetaceae. The record is from RNAcentral.